This 547-nucleotide ribosomal RNA is filed under the name uncultured bacterium. RNAcentral describes it as "bacterial SSU rRNA". It matches the Rfam family "Bacterial small subunit ribosomal RNA", at positions 780 to 1325 of the family's 1533-position model. The record is from RNAcentral.
AAUUACCCCGGUAGUCCACGCCGUAAACGAUGAGUGCUAAGUGUUAGGGGGUUUCCGCCCCUUAGUGCUGCAGCUAACGCAUUAAGCACUCCGCCUGGGGAGUACGGUCGCAAGACUGAAACUCAAAGGAAUUGACGGGGGCCCGCACAAGCGGUGGAGCAUGUGGUUUAAUUCGAAGCAACGCGAAGAACCUUACCAGGUCUUGACAUCCCACUGACCGCUAUGGAGACAUAGUUUUCCCUUCGGGGACAGUGGUGACAGGUGGUGCAUGGUUGUCGUCAGCUCGUGUCGUGAGAUGUUGGGUUAAGUCCCGCAACGAGCGCAACCCUUGAUCUUAGUUGCCAUCAUUUAGUUGGGCACUCUAAGGUGACUGCCGGUGACAAACCGGAGGAAGGUGGGGAUGACGUCAAAUCAUCAUGCCCCUUAUGACCUGGGCUACACACGUGCUACAAUGGACGGUACAAACGGUUGCCAACCCGCGAGGGGGAGCUAAUCCGAUAAAAUCGUUCUCAGUUCGGAUUGUAGGCUGCAACUCGCCUACAUGAAC